RNAcentral lists this ribosomal RNA (264 nucleotides) under uncultured bacterium. Its description in RNAcentral is "partial 16S ribosomal RNA". It matches the Rfam family "Bacterial small subunit ribosomal RNA", at positions 793 to 1055 of the family's 1533-position model. The record is from RNAcentral.
GUCCACGCCGUAAACGAUGGGUGCUAGGUGUCACGGGCUUUGACUCUCGUGGUGCCGUAGCUAACGCAUUAAGCACCCCGCCUGGGAAGUACGGCCGCAAGGCUAAAACUCAAAGGAAUUGACGGGGCCCGCACAAGCGGUGGAGCAUGUGGUUUAAUUCGACGCAACGCGAAGAACCUUACCUGGGCUAGAAAUGUAAGAAUCUGGUAGAAGUAUCGGAGUGCUCUUCGGAGAACUUGCAGUUAGGUGCUGCAUGGCUGUCGU